This is a non-coding RNA of Sus scrofa (pig), 5043 nucleotides long. The record is from RefSeq and is a predicted model, not a curated record. NCBI's taxonomy places the organism in Eukaryota, Metazoa, Chordata, Mammalia, Artiodactyla, Suidae.
AAGAAAAGAAAAGGUAGCUCCACCGGCCAGAGAAUGAAGAGGGGGCUGUCAGCCAGCAGGCCCCCUAGGCACGUGUGGAAUUAGAUUCCUGUCCCUCAGAGGGUCGUCUGGGGGUGCUUUGUGCUGCAGUGGGUUAAGGUUGGGUGAUGUUGCUGCAGUGGCUGGGUAGCUAAUGUGGCACAGGUGUCGUGGAUUCAGUCUCUGGCUUGGGAACUUCCACAUGCCUCAGGUGUGGCCGAGAAAAAAAGGUGGGGGAGGUGGGGGUAGCACAUGAGCCUCUGGCACUUAAAGCCUGGGCUCUCUUCACUGAGCCCUGAUUGGGUGAGUUCGCGAGGGAGCCCUAUUUCCCAGACUGCUUUAGCCCAGUGGUCUCCUGGACGCGAGCCCCGUUGGUUUUAAAAGCUUGACACCUUUUGUAGGACUGUGUCUCAGCCUGGCAUGGAGGAGGAACAGCUUGGAAUUGGAGCGGGCAGCCCGAGCAGAUGGACAGCAGCUGAGUCAAUCUGGAAGCAAUCACGAUCCAUGUGAAAGAAGAAUUUUCAAACAUUCUUAAAAAGCAAAUAAUCCAAGUGGAAGAAGAACUAAACUGCUUACAUGUUAUCACAGAAACCAAACUUGUGGAUUGAAUAUGUUGUCCCCAUUUGCCUGUUAUAGGAUAUUUUUGGCUACAGAGAGCCUAAUACCCUUGGGUCGGGGUCUGUACUGCCAACUUGCUGUAGGACAAAAAAUCCAUACUUCAAGAAGGGAGAAAACUUGGGUUCCCAUUCCUGUAAGCCGUCAAGGGAUCUUGGGAAUAUCCUUCCAUUUUUCUGAACUUCAUUUUUCUCAUCUGUGCAACAAAUGCAGGCUUUCUAAAAUCCCCUGGCGUCUCCUAACUCUUUUCUUUGGAAAAGUUAAGAAAUGAAAGAUAGAAAAAGUGCUGCCUGCUUUAGGGAAAGAGCUAUGUGUCUGCAGUGGAAAGCCGGUGGAGGUGGAAGGUCCCGAAGUGGGGGUGGGUCUCCUCCUUCUUCCCUGGUGGUCGUUUCCUUCUCAUUUUCUCAUACUUCUCAAGACUUCGGAGAACCGGAGAGAACCUUGGUGAAUGGCAGAGUGAUCCAUCUAUCAAAAAGACUGCUGUUCCAGGAUUUCCCAAACAUUCAUUAAGCUAGCUGCUUCUUAAUCGGUGCACAGUAAUAAUUACUUCCAGAAUUAGAAGAGAAUUAAGGAAGAUCAUUAUUAACAUUUGUGUCCUGUUGCUUGAUAUGCGCCAUCAUACGUUAGGAAAUCUAUCUUUGCAAUUUCCAGUCCUCAGGAAGCCUCAGAAAGCCUUGCCAGGUAUUAUUUCAGCUAAAGCACAGUGGUGAAGAAAAUGCCAACUCUAGCACUGGGGAAAAGCUUUGCAGAUGAAAACACUGGCAUUUGGGACCACUUAUGCUGCUUUCCAAUUCUGAAUGGUUGCUGCUGUUCCAUGUUUAUUUAGCAGAGUUCUCUGGAGACCUGUUUGAAAGGGCACAUGUUUCUUGGAUAGAGAAGACAAGCCACGCUCCUCUCCAGAGCAAAGAGAGGGGCAAAGAAGAGGUCAUCCGUGGCCUUAAUUUCCUGCUGCAUGUGACUUCUCUGCUGGGAGUUUCUUAAUGAAGAACCCACAGCGGGGGUGGGGGAUAGGCUUUGUUCUCAAAAUAAGUGCUGGUUGUGUGCCCCUAGGCAAGGUACUUGACCUCUCUGGGCUUCAUCUGUCAAGAGGGCUCUUCCAUCAAUCAUUCCUUUUAAAAAUUUCCUCUUCGUUAUUAGAGUGAAAGACAAUUCACCCAUAUUGUUUUCCUAAAUCUAAAUGAAUCCUGUUUGUCAAGAUUGACAAGAAACCCAGCAUCCGUUAUCCCUGGGGUGGGGUGCUGGGAUGGACGGCAUUCAGCAGUCCUGCUGGGUUCAUGCCAUCCUGAAGUGUGGGGAAGGGCCUCCAUUCCUCCGUCCGUUCCAGUCUCAGUGCCCCUGAGAUUUUCAUUGUUCACAGGAUCCAUUCCACAGUGGGCAGCUCCUCUGCUCCAGUGUCCCUGCCCUCCCAGCUCCUGGAACCUUCAACACGGCUCCCAACCCCACAGAGCAUGGGCUCAGGAUCCAGUGGUCAUGAUUUAUUUCCACGCUACCUUUUCUCAGGUGCGAUUGCAGAUUCUUGUCAUUCUUCAUCCCCUUUCCCCUUCAAAGCUCUGAAAAGCCAGCCUCUCUCCUCAGGUCCCACUAUUUCUCCCUCCUCCACCCUUGAAGACAUGGCACCUUGCAUGGAGCCAGCCCUACAUUUCAGAAAGCCCAGGCCAGGGACCACAGUGCCCUGGGACACAGUGACAAACACAGCCACCCCUCGGCUUUGGGGAAGGCGAGAUGAACUGGCAAGGACUGUGGUGAGCGAUGGCGUGCUACCACUCGGAAGGAGAAGUUACCACUCAGUUCCAGGUGAUUCAUACCACGUGGGAGUAAAAGUUCAGAGCUGUAUGUUUUCUGAUAUUUCAGGAAAAACAGGGAUGUGGGCUUUUUUCAGGUGCAAUUUCCUGUCUUUAACAUUUGGGAGCAACUAUAAAAAUAAAAACAUCAUAUGAAGGCCAGAUAUAUCACAUCUGCAAUAACCAGUUUGUGACUGAGUUAAUUUGCCAGGGCUGCCAUAACGAAGAACCACAAAUUGGGUGGCUUAAAUGAUAGACAUUUACUGCCUCACAGUUCUUGAGGCCACAAGUCGGAAAUCAAGAUGCUGGUGGCGUUGAAGUUUCUGUGGGCUGUGAUCUCAGAAGAGUUCCUCCCAGUCCUCUCUCCUGGGCUCCUAGGUCGUCAUCUUCAUAGUCACAUAGCAUUCUCCCUGUAUCUUUGCAUCAUCUACCCUUCCUGCAUGUCUGAGUCCAAAUUCCCCGCUGCCCCCUUUUUUUGUAAGGACACUAGUCAUUUUGGGUUAGAGCCUACCCUCAUAACCUCAUCUUAACCUUACUAAUUAUAUCUGUAACUUCUGGAUAAAGUUACAUUCUGAGCUAGUGGGUAUUAGAAUUUCAAUAUAUGGAUUCGGGGGGAUUAUAAUUCAACACUUAACAGUGGCCUCAACCCAGACUUAAAAAUAAAAAAGUUACUUCUCCUCUUUGUGAAGAGAAGACUCAAUCUCCACUGCACAGAAGAUUAGUUACUAGGUAGGGGGAGGUGGAGAAUGGGGAAUGGAUGAAGACGAAGGCAAACAUCACUCAUUCUUUGGAGACAAGAUGACAUAAGAAGACACCAUCCAUUCCUCAGCCAGUUUAUCUGCUCAUCAUGGCAUCCAGCACUAGUUGUAGUGAGUAGAUUCUCAAUAUUUGUUGAGUUAGAAUGAGUUAAAUUUGAUCAGAAUUGAACAGAGAAAAAAGGGAGAGGCGGGGUAUACUAGAGGGGAAUAGAGGUAUUUAGAGAUGCUCUUGGUAAGAGCUAAAGGAAGUCCAUUCUUUCUAGCAGGAUAGGAGCUCAGCUGCUCUGAAGUAGGCAUCAGAUAGAUCUGGUAUGGGUCAGGCAUUUUCCUGGCUUAGAGUGAAAAGUAGAGUAAGUUCUAACCCUGAAUAUGAUUUGAGUCUAUGGGAGGUUAUGAGACUUACUUUAUCAACAUUGACCAAAAAAAUGAAUCGUAUAAUCUGUAACAAAUCUUUAGGGCUAUAAUCUAUAUGCUCAUAUUAUUCUCUUCUGGGUUUCCUAUAUUCGCUUAGUGAAAGAUGUCGGCCAAGUAGGUAAUUGCUUAUCUGAUGAAGAAUGCUUGGAAUUUGGAGACAAAUUCAGACUCACACCUCAUCCUCUCCUCUUAUUUGCUAGUGCCCUGGCCAAGAUGGGAAGCUUCUGAGUCCAAAAUUCCUCAUUUGUAAAGGAUUAGAUUGCAUAAAUGUUAAAUUCCCUUUGAUUGAAUUCUGGUAUACUUGUUGAUAUCCAAUCUUCCUUCACUUUUUGAAUUGAUUUUUUCCAUUGAAUUUAUUUUGUCUUAUGAAGUAUGUUAGCCAGGCCCUACCCUAAACUGGCUUAUGUACAAGAGAAGACAAAAGCGUCUUAUUUGCUGAUGCAGCUGCGAAGCCAAGCAUGGUGGCUCCUAGAAGCUAAGAUAGCAUCAUCAGAAGUCUGUCUCUCUCUUCGCAUCUCCCAGCUCCAUUAUACUCUGCUUGGAUUUAUUCUCUGAAGACUCUCUUUGUAGUGAGGAGAAGAUUAUCAAUAAAUAGCUCCAUGCUCACAACAGUUUUACAGCUUUGAAUUCAGAACAAGAGAUAAAAAUCUCUCUUUAUGUCUCUAGUAUAAAGAAAAGUCCAGAGGACUUUGAUUGAUGGUGUGUGAAUCACAUACCCUUUCCUGAAUUCAUCACUGUGGGCCAAAGGUGGCAGUACCCUGACGGGCUCAGCCAGAGAUACAUGCCAGGCACAGGAGAAAGUGGGCUAGUUCUCUACUCCUAAAUACAUGGAAUUGGUAAGAAUGGGCUGCCCCAAAGAAAGGCAUGCUGGGCAGAGGGGAAUAUAACCCCAGCAGCGUUCAAAGAUCCCUGGCUUUAGUCAGGUUAUUUAUUCGGUCUCCUAAAAAUUUUCCACCACUGAUUAUUUCAGCCUUGUUAAUACUAAAUCUGACCAUGAACAUUGAUGUUUUGUCUAGACAUAAAUAGCAAACUGAAAAAAUUACAAGUCCAUAAGGAUUAGUAAUAAAUAAAUAUGUGCAUGACAUACACAUCUGCCUAAUUCAUUGUCUGCAGAAUUAUAUCCAAACACUCCAAUGUGGCAUUCACGGCUCUUCCUAAGAUGUUAUAAAAUAGUAUCCUGUAUAGUUUGGGUUCAGGGAUGGUAUUGACUUGGGAUUUUUAUAAGCUUUGCCCAGAAAGGAAUAAGUAAAUGAAUGAAGUUAAGAGAAUUCUGAUAUGCAUGGGUGUCUCCAGCAUAAAAUUGUGGUGAGUGUAGAGAAACUAUUAGAAAUCUAUCUGGGGAGUUCCAUCAUGGCUCAGCAGUAAUGGACCCAACUAGUAUCCAUGAGGAUAUGGGUUCGAUCCCUGGCCUCGCUCAGUGGGUUAAGGAUUCGGCAUUGCUGUGAGCUGUGGUGUAG